Molecule: long non-coding RNA, 441 nt
Filed under: Dromaius novaehollandiae (emu)
Lineage: Eukaryota; Metazoa; Chordata; Aves; Casuariiformes; Dromaiidae
Description: lncRNA (ENSDNVG00000009210.1)
Source: RNAcentral
AGAUCUAACACAAUUAUUUCCUCCUCUCUCGCAGCUACAGGAAUCGCUGGAGGCAUAAAGGUGAAAGAAUCACAAAGCUGGCAACAAUUUAGAAAUGUUUUAAGAAGAGAAUUAUUCAUCAACACAAUGAUUCAUGCUCACCAGUUUUCCAGAGGAGGGCCAGGUGCAAUGGCAUUUUGCAUGGAAGGACCUGAGCAACCAUUCAUUUGCUAUCACAUGUGACUGGGAGUGUGCACUGUUCUGGAUAGGUUAAUGAGCUAAGGACCAGUCUAUGGCUGUCCUCUUGGCUUAACCAGUUCCAGCCGCUCAGCAUUGUCUUCCUUCUUCUUCAGGGAAACAAGAUUGCAAAUGGUACGCCAAAACGCACUAGUUUCUUUGUAUUGUUGCCUGCCUAGCAUGCAGGUUACUAGUAAGUUCUGAGUUAAUAUAGGGUCUUUAUUU